RNAcentral lists this ribosomal RNA (274 nucleotides) under uncultured bacterium. RNAcentral describes it as "partial 16S ribosomal RNA". It matches the Rfam family "Bacterial small subunit ribosomal RNA", at positions 523 to 796 of the family's 1533-position model. The record is from RNAcentral.
AUACGGAGGGUGCAAGCGUUACUCGGAAUCACUGGGCGUAAAGCGCGCGCAGGCGGUCUUUUAAGUUGGAUGUGAAAGCCUACGGCUCAACCGUAGAACUGCAUCCAAAACUAUUAGACUAGAGUGUGGGAGAGGAAGAUGGAAUUAGUUGUGUAGGGGUAAAAUCCGUAGAGAUAACUAGGAAUACCAAAAGCGAAGGCAAUCUUCUGGAACACUACUGACGCUGAGGCGCGAAGGCGGGGGGAGCAAACAGGAUUAGAAACCCCAGUAGUCC